CUGGUUUGAAAUUGUAUGUCAUGACCAGGUUAGUAUUCAGGAGAGAGAAAGAAAGAAGGGACUGGGGAAAGGGAGGGAAAAAGAAGAUGGGGGCAGAUAGAACGCAUAUGAACACACACAGACCACACACUACACACACACGCAAACAUCACACACCCGUCACAUACACACCACAUGCCACACAUACACAUACACACCUACCACACAUCACAUACACACCACAUGCCACACACAUCUACCACACACAAUCACAUACACACAUGCCACACACAUACACACCUACCACACACAUCACAUACACACACACACCACACACACACACCUACCACACACAUUCACAUACACACCAUACACCACACACACCUACCACACACAUCACAUACACACACACUACAUGCCACACACACACCUACCACACACACAUCACACGAAUACACCACACUCCACACACACCACACACAAUCGCAUACACACUACAUGCCACACACACAUACACACCUACUAAUCACAUACACACACUAUAUGCCACACACACACACCUGUCACACACACCCCCACACACUCCCCCACAUACAUAUACCACACACACACCCCCACACAUACCACACACAUCAUGCCUCCCACACCCCCACAUACACACACUACACACAUCCCACAUACAUACCAUACAAACCUACACCACACACCCACUACACACACACCACACACAUUCCUCCACACCCCCACAUAUAUAUACUACACACACCACACACAUAUAUACCAUAUACACACCUACCACACACGCAUAACACACCCACACACACUAAUCACACCCUCAUAACCUGCCACGCCUGCACACCUCCAAAUCCAUACACAUUUACACAAGGACACACUUACAUGCCCUCCCCCAUCCUUACAGCACCCACACCUUUGUACAUAACAUACCCACACCCCCACCAUACACCACAUACACACACCACACACCACACACUCCCCAUAAACACACCACACAUAUACACACACAUGCACACCCACACACUGCACACACUAUAAACACCCGCACACAUACCACACACACACUCCCACAUCCCCAUGCCUCCCACCACACACACACACACAAACCCGCAUCCCCCCAUACCUCCCACACCACACACACACACACACACACA
Molecule: long non-coding RNA, 1148 nt
Filed under: Homo sapiens (human)
Lineage: Eukaryota; Metazoa; Chordata; Mammalia; Primates; Hominidae
Description: non-protein coding lnc-SLC7A1-3:2
Source: RNAcentral